Molecule: small nucleolar RNA, 129 nt
Filed under: Castor canadensis (American beaver)
Lineage: Eukaryota; Metazoa; Chordata; Mammalia; Rodentia; Castoridae
Description: Small nucleolar RNA SNORA51 (ENSCCNG00000011096.1)
Rfam family: Small nucleolar RNA SNORA51
About the family: ACA51 is a member of the H/ACA class of snoRNA that guide the sites of modification of uridines to pseudouridines.
Source: Rfam by way of RNAcentral
UGUCUCCUGGUGCUUUCUGCAGAGUAUUCUUACACUAACUGUAUAGGAAGAAGAACCAAAGUAAACCUACCCAUAUACAUCUCAGCCCAGGCCCUGCACCUGGUCUACAUUGUGAAUGGGGAGGCAGGA